This 401-nucleotide ribosomal RNA is filed under the name uncultured bacterium. RNAcentral describes it as "bacterial SSU rRNA". It matches the Rfam family "Bacterial small subunit ribosomal RNA", at positions 975 to 1375 of the family's 1533-position model. The record is from RNAcentral.
CUGGGCUCGAAAUGCUAUGGACCAGCUGGUGAAAGCCGGCCUUCCCGCAAGGGACCGUAGUAUAGGUGCUGCAUGGCUGUCGUCAGCUCGUGUCGUGAGAUGUUGGGUUAAGUCCCGCAACGAGCGCAACCCUUGUCCUGUGUUGCCAUCAUUCAGUUGGGAACUCGCAGGAGACCGCCAGGGAUAACCUGGAGGAAGGUGGGGAUGACGUCAAGUCCUCAUGGCCUUUAUGUCCAGGGCUACACACGUGCUACAAUGGACGGUACAAAGGGCUGCCAACCCGCAAGGGGGAGCCAAUCCCAAAAAACCGUUCUCAGUUCGGAUUGCAGGCUGCAACUCGCCUGCAUGAAGCUGGAAUCGCUAGUAAUGGUGGAUCAGCAUGCCACCGUGAAUACGUUCCC